Molecule: long non-coding RNA, 473 nt
Filed under: Brassica napus (rape)
Lineage: Eukaryota; Viridiplantae; Streptophyta; Magnoliopsida; Brassicales; Brassicaceae
Description: long non-coding RNA (BNAP_LNC018458)
Source: RNAcentral
UCUUUGAGUUGAGCGACACAAGCCGAAUUGUUUUCAAAUAUUUUCGUCGGCUCUUUUUCGUUGACUAUUUCGCUUAAUUCUUAUAUGUUGUGACUCAUUGACCGAAGCCAAACAUAUUCUCGACAUGCUUUGAAGCAGUCGAAACCUAGGAUCGUUUCUCGGAACGCUAUGUAAUCAUGGUUUCACCAAUUGUAAAACCGUAUCCAGUUUGUGUUCGACUUUAUAAAUAGCAUGUAUCUGCAAAACCAUACCAAACUCGGGUUUUCUAGAAUAAAUCAACCCUAAUUUAAAACAUACCUUGGAGAGAAUGGAAAUAUUCUCGACGCCGUUCUAAUUUCCAUGAAUAGAAAAUGAGUUGUAUCUUGCAAAGACAUUAGUGUCUAAAAGUAUAUUUAAUCAAAUACAACUCGCAAGACAUAUACGCUCACAUAUGCUUUAUUACGAUUAGCAUCUCCAAAGUACUUAUUUAUAUA